RNAcentral lists this ribosomal RNA (1234 nucleotides) under Triticum aestivum (bread wheat). Its description in RNAcentral is "partial small subunit ribosomal RNA". The record is from RNAcentral. Lineage: Eukaryota; Viridiplantae; Streptophyta; Magnoliopsida; Poales; Poaceae.
CCAUCCUCCUCCCGCACGCAGAAUUAGAUCAGGGCGACCGGGCCAGGGAGGAUGGAGAACAGCAGCGGCCGGGAGGUGCUUCCGAACGGAGGAGGAGCCGGGGGGAUGGGCAACGGCGCGGCGAACGGGCGGGCGGUGCAGGCGCUGCAGCGGAGCUUCGCCGAGGUGCAGGUGAUCCUGGAGAAGAACCGGAUUCUGAUCCAGGAGAUCACCCAGAACCAGGAGUCGCUCGAGGCCGGCGGCCUCAGCCGCAACGUCGCCCUCAUCCGCGAGCUCAACAGCAACAUCGCCCGCGUCGUCGACCUCUACAACGCCCUCUCCUGCUCCUUCUCCAGCUCCCUCACCAACGGCUCCGCCCCCGCUGCCUCCGACGCCUCCAAGGGGGCCUACAAGAGGCCGCGCCCUGCCCAAUAGAAGAGACAGACCGUCGGCGCCCUCUUCUCCUCUGUUCAGAUUUAGAUUUCUGCUGUGGCCAUCCAUGGCCAGGGCUCAGCGGCAGGCAGAUUUGAGACUUCCUCUUUUUUUUCUUUUUCUUCUUCGUUUUCUUCUUUGUUUUAGCGUUGAGCUGAGAGAUAUGGACAUGGGCAGCUUGUUGUCAGAGAUGAAACAAAGAUGCAGGCAGCAGUGUGUGGCUGUAUCAGUAUGUAUCUGUGUUUGUGUUGUGUGUUGUUGUAUGGCCUACUGGCGCUGGUGUCUUUCUUUCAGGCCAGAUCGGAUGGAAUGAUUGCUUUGUCCUGUGAAGUCGGUUGGUGAGAGGAGAGAGAAGCGAUCCUGCUACUGCUACUGCUCAUCAUCAGGGAUCAAGAUGCAUUUUUUUCCAGGAAGCAAGCACUUCAAUCCCUGCAGAACUUAUUUGUUAUGACCUUCCAUUCUCAAACAUGGAAAUUCUUCAAGUUCUAGUUCGAUUUCUUCAAAGAAAAUUUCCCGUGCUUCAAGCAGCUCAAUAUCCAUAGAACACAUGAAAAUAACCCACGUCGCGAAGAAUUCAACUCACAUACACUUGCUUUCGAAAAUCUUGUGGGUGCCAAACAGUUCAAUUUCCGUAGAAACAUGGAAAAAUCCCUCCAAACCUUUCGAUUUCACUAGAAACGUGGAAAGUCCGCACACUUAGUUCAAUUCCCAUAGGAACAAGAAGUGCUCCUCCGAGGCGAUGACGAUGCUUGUAGUCGUCACUAGAUGAUCUACGGAUCUGGAUGUAAUUUUUAUUAUUUUUUAUAUUCGUUAUACUAUCCGG